GGCUCAGUACUUUACAGACGUCACCUCACGUAACCCACGCCACAACCGGGAGAAAGACAUGAUUGGCGUUGUACCCACGAGGAAACAGAGAGGGAAGGGAGCUGUCCAGGACCACGGGAACUUUUCAAAAGGGAUUUCAACCUCUGACCACCUGGAGACAGGCGACUGGCGCUCAUUGUAAAUGCACCGACAUGACAGGGAACAGCUGCUGGGGAGGUGGAGACGGGUGCCGGGAGAGACAGGAAACCCCAGAGGCUUGGAAAUCCAGGAGCCACAGGAAGCAGUGAGCUUUCUGCGGAGCCGGAUCCGGUGGAGCCAAUUCACCAGCAGGUCCCGGCAGCAACUCUUCUACAACAGAUUCCUGCCCGUCCCUGUGCCCCAUCGCCCCCCUGCCGUCAAUCUCCACCUCAAGGGAGCCAGACCAAGCCUUUCUGUGUGUAGCGCACAUCUCUCCUGCGUAGAGCUCACCUAGUGGCUUCCAUAGCUUUUUUUUUUUUUUUUUUGGAGACAGGGUCUUGCCCUGUCACCCAGGCUGGGGUACGGUGGCAUGAUCAUGGCUCACUGCAGCUCCCUCCUGGGCUCAAGUGAUC
This 590-nucleotide long non-coding RNA is filed under the name Homo sapiens (human). RNAcentral describes it as "non-protein coding FAM222A-AS1:9". Lineage: Eukaryota; Metazoa; Chordata; Mammalia; Primates; Hominidae. The record is from RNAcentral.